AUGGGGAUUUUCCCACCCAAAAAUUGGGAUUUUUCCACUCAAAAAUUGGGAUUUUCCCGCUCAAAAAUUGGGAUUUUUCUACCUAAAAAUCAGGAUUUUCCCACCCAAAAAUUGGGAUUUUUCUACCUAAAAAUCAGGAUUUUCCCGCCCCAAAAUCGGAAUUUUCCCCCCCAAAAUUGGGAAUUUUCCCACCCCAAAAUCGGAAUUUUCCCACCCCAAAAUCAGGACUUUCCCCCCCAAAAAUUGGGAUUUUCCCACCCCAAAAAUCAGGAUUUUCCUGCUCAAAAAUCGGGAUUUUUUCACCCCAAAAUCGGGAUUUUCCCCCCAAAAAAAUCAGGAUUUUCCCGCCCAAAAAUCGGGAUUUUCCCGCCCAAAAAUCGGGAAUUUUCCCACCUAAAAAUCGGGAUUUUCCCCCCAAAAAAAUCAGGAUUUUCCUGCUCAAAAAUCAAGAUUUUCCCACCCCAAAAUCGGGAUUUUCCCACCCCAAAAUCGGGAUUUUCCCACCCCAAAAUCGGGAUUUUCCCCUCCAAAAUCGGGAUUUUCCCCUCAAAAAAAUGUGAUUUUCCCACCUAAAAAUCGGAAUUUUCCCACCCCAAAAUCGGGAUUUUCCCACCCAAAAAUCAGAAUUUUCCCACCCAAAAUUGGGAAUUUUCCCCCCAAAAAUUGGGAAUUUUCCCACCCAAAAUCGGGAUUUUCUCACCCAAAAUUGGGAAUUUUCCCGCCUAAAAAUCGGAAUUUUCCCACCCCAAAAUCGGGAUUUUCCCACCCCAAAAUCAGGAUUUUCCUGCUCAAAAAUUGGAAUUUUCCCACCCCAAAAUUGGGA
This 823-nucleotide long non-coding RNA is filed under the name Cyanistes caeruleus (blue tit). Its description in RNAcentral is "lncRNA (ENSCCEG00000007039.1)". Lineage: Eukaryota; Metazoa; Chordata; Aves; Passeriformes; Paridae. The record is from RNAcentral.